UAUGGCUCAGUGGUAGAGUGCUUGCCUAACAUGCAUGAAACCCUGGGUUCGAUUCCUCAGUA
Molecule: transfer RNA, 62 nt
Filed under: Dipodomys ordii (Ord's kangaroo rat)
Lineage: Eukaryota; Metazoa; Chordata; Mammalia; Rodentia; Heteromyidae
Rfam family: tRNA
About the family: Transfer RNA (tRNA) molecules are approximately 80 nucleotides in length.
Source: Rfam by way of RNAcentral